RNAcentral lists this ribosomal RNA (468 nucleotides) under uncultured bacterium. RNAcentral's name for it is "partial 16S ribosomal RNA". It matches the Rfam family "Bacterial small subunit ribosomal RNA", at positions 28 to 507 of the family's 1533-position model. The record is from RNAcentral.
GACGAACGCUGGCGGCGUGCUUAACACAUGCAAGUCGAACGGCAAGGCCCUGCUUUUGUGGGGUGCUCGAGUGGCGAACGGGUGAGUAACACGUGAGUAACCUGCCCUUGACUUUGGGGUAACUUCAGGAAACUGGGGCUAAUACCGGAUAGGAGCUCCUGCUGCAUGGUGGGGGUUGGAAAGUUUCGGCGGUUGGGGAUGGACUCGCGGCUUAUCAGCUUGUUGGUGGGGUAGUGGCUUACCAAGGCUUUGACGGGUAGCCGGCCUGAGAGGGUGACCGGCCACAUUGCGACUGAGAUACGGCCCAGACUCCUACGGGAGGCAGCAGUGGGGAAUAUUGCACAAUGGGCGGAAGCCUGAUGCAGCAACGCCGCGUGCGGGAUGACGGCCUUCGGGUUGUAAACCGCUUUCGCCUGUGACGAAGCGUGAGUGACGGUAAUGGGUAAAGAAGCACCGGCUAACUACGUG